RNAcentral lists this unclassified non-coding RNA (329 nucleotides) under soil metagenome. RNAcentral describes it as "partial contains 5.8S ribosomal RNA, internal transcribed spacer 2, and large subunit ribosomal RNA". The stretch from base 1 to 120 matches the Rfam family "5.8S ribosomal RNA", at positions 35 to 154 of the family's 154-position model. The record is from RNAcentral.
GAUAAAGAACGCAGCGAAAUGCGAUAAGUAAUGUGAAUUGCAGAAUUCAGUGAAUCAUCGAAUCUUUGAACGCACAUUGCGCCCCCUGGUAUUCCGGGGGGCAUGCCUGUCCGAGCGUCAUUACAACCCUCAAGCUCAGCUUGGUGUUGGGCCCCGCCGCCCCGGCGGGCCCUAAAGUCAGUGGCGGUGCCGUCCGGCUCCGAGCGUAGUAAUUCUUCUCGCUCUGGAGGUCCGGUCGUGUGCUCGCCAGCAACCCCCAAUUUUUUUCAGGUUGACCUCGGAUCAGGUAGGGAUACCCGCUGAACUUAAGCAUAUCAAUAAGCGGAGGA